UCCAACUCAUAGCACAUUUUU
This 21-nucleotide non-coding RNA is filed under the name Caenorhabditis elegans. The record is from RNAcentral. Lineage: Eukaryota; Metazoa; Nematoda; Chromadorea; Rhabditida; Rhabditidae.